RNAcentral lists this long non-coding RNA (5204 nucleotides) under Zostera marina. Its description in RNAcentral is "long non-coding RNA (ZMAR_LNC001501)". Lineage: Eukaryota; Viridiplantae; Streptophyta; Magnoliopsida; Alismatales; Zosteraceae. The record is from RNAcentral.
UUACACAUGCUCAGUAACAUUAUAACUAAAUAGUCCUUGCAUCAUAACAUAAAAUAACUAACUAAUCUAUAACGAUCAUUUAAUCAAGUUGAAAUCCUUUUAGGCGCGAUGAGAGCAUCUUCCUCCUGACCGGACGUCCGCUCGCGAUGUUUCUACUUCCGGCCUCUGUCUCAUCCAGUUCCUCCGUCUCCGGCUCCAACUGUGCGCGGAUGUCGUUCAACAUAUCUCCUUCCUCCAGAGCCCGUCUAUCAUCUCCACCCUCCUCAUAAUCGACUUUGUCCUCAAGGUUAAGGGAUGGGAAUGUCCUUUGUAGCUGGUCGACCUCCUCCCAUGAAGUUUCCUCCGGAUCGCGCCCCGUCCACCGGACUUUAGCUUGCUCCACCAGUCUGCCCUUUCCCAGUAAAGCCCUCUUUUCCAGUAUCGCCUAAGAAUAGAUUACCGGCUGGCUACCGACUGCAACUUUGGGUAAGCACCCAAUUUCCACUGGUGGUAAUUUUCCUCUAUAUUUCUUCAAUACACUGACAUGAAAAACAUCACGAAUUAGGCUAUUAUUUGGUAAUUUAACUUUGUAGGCCACCUCAAUGAUUUUUUUUUCAUAGGGACCAUAAUAUCUUGCUGAAAGUUUGUGAUAAAGCUUUUUUGCAAUAGAUAUCUGUCUGUAAGGCCUCAGUUUAACAAAUACCCAAUCCCCAAUUUCGAAUUCCACUUCUCUUCUAUGAUGAUCAGCUUGCUUCUUCAUUCUUUCUUUUGUUCUGUCCAUAUUAAUUUUAACUAUAUCAAGAAUUUCCUGCCUUCUAACCAGUUCUUCUUCAACCUCAAUAUUUAUUGAACUCCCUUUAACAGCUUCCACAAAUGAAUUAGCCUUCCUGUCAUAUAGAGCUUUGAAUGGGGCCAUAAUUCCGCCCAAGGUAGUAGGGUUAACCAUUUUUUUGGUUGUUCAUAAGCUAAACACCUUAGAAACAUUUCAAUACCUCUAUUUACUAUCUCAGUAUGGCCAUCUGUCUCUGGGUGGUAUGCAGAGGAUAACUUCAGAGUUGUUCCACUAAGUCUAUUAAUUUCUCUCCAAAAACUACUAGUGAAAACCUAGUCCCUGUCAGAAAUGAUUGAUGUUGGUACUCCAUGUAAUUUUAUUACUUCUUGCACAAAGAAGGCUGCAACCAUCUUAGAGUCGAAAUCUGCUGGUAAACUUCCCAAGUGGCAGAAUUUAGAAAGUUUGUCCACUACAACUAUAAUGACUGAUUUACCCCUGACCACUGGUAGGUUACUUAUAAAAUCUGUUGAGAUAUCUUGCCAUACUGCUUCAGGUAUAGGAAGAGGCUUUAAGAGUCCUUGUAGUCUUUUAGUAGAUGUUUUCAUUCUUUGACACACCACACAAUCCUCAACAUACUUUUUUAUUUCUUUUGACAUUCCCUUCCACCAGAAAAUUAAUUUAAUUCUUCUGAUUAUUCUUUCCACUCCUGAGUGACCACCAAUGAUGCUGUCAUAAUAUUCUCUAAGAAUAUCCUUAAUUAGGGCUGAGGUGGUUGCUACCACAUAUCUAUCAUUCAUGAGAAGUAACCCUUCUCUCAAUAUCAACUGUGUAUUGCUUUCAAUCCCUUUCUGGAUGUUCUCUUUCAUUUUUAAUAGCUCUAUAUAUGAUUUCUGUUUUUCUUUUACUCUGUCAAUUAAUUAAUCUGCUAACCAGGGCACACAGGCUUAAUACUGAACCAUCUUGUAAUUCUUCUUUAGAGUCAUCUCCCUCAAACUGUCUUGACAAAGCAUCUGCUGCUUUAUUUUCUUUUCCUGGCAUGUAUUUAAUAGAGUAAUCAAAUCCCAACAAUUGGCAUAGAAACUUCUGUUGGUCAGGGGUUUGUAUUAUUUGGCUCACCAUGUUCUUUAUGCUUUGGUGGUCUGUAUGGAUUAUAAAAUGAUGAUCCAAUAAGUAAUGCCUCCACUUACAAACAGCUUGAGUGAUAGCUAGCAUUUCUUUUGAAUAUGUAGAUGCCAAGAGCAUUCGAUUCUGCCAGAUAUUUUUGAACUAAAGAAUGCAAUAGGAUGUCCCUCCUGACUUAAUACUGCCCCAACUCCAUUUAAACAAGCAUCAGUCUCUAUAGAAAAUGGCUUUUCAAAAUCAGGAUGAUGCAAUACUGGGGCUGAUACUAUGGCUUCUUUCAAAGAUAAAAAAAUUAUUUUCUGCCAGUUCAUUCCAUGCAAAUUGAUCUUUCUUUAGUAAGUCUGUCAUAGGGGCAGCUAGGUGGGAAUAAUUUUUAACAAACUUUCUGUAAUACCCUGACAGACCCAGAAAUCCUUUCAAAGCUCUAACAUUCUUUGGAGUUGGCCAAUUUAGAAUUGAAGAUACCUUCUCUAGGUCAGGAUUUACCCCUUGCCCUGAUAUUAUAUGUCCCAAGAACUGCAGUUCACUCUGAAAAAAUAAACACUUGGACUGCUUGGCAAAUAGUUGAUUUUCCCUAAGUAUCAUUAGAACAGUUUUCAGAUGAUUAAUAUGGUCCUCUCUAGAAGAACUGAAAACUAGAAUAUCGUCAAAGAAAACUAGCACAAACUUCCUUAAUAGUGGGGAGAAUAUCCGAUUCAUAGUAGCUUGGAAGGUUGUUGGGGCAUUGGUGAGGCCAAAGGGCAUCACUAGAAACUCAUAGUGACCUUGGUGGGUUCUAAAAGCUGUUUUCUCCACAUCACUAGGGUUUAUUAAAAUCUGAUGAUAGCCAAAUCUCAAAUCUAAUUAACUUUGAAAAUAUUUUAGCCCCCUUUAGUUCAGCUAGUAACUCAUCAACUGUUGGUAUAGGGAACUUGUCCUUGAUUGUAAUGUUAUUUAAGGCCCUAUAAUCACACAUAGCCUCCAACUCCCAUCUUUUUUUUUAACAAACAAGAUUGGUGAAGAGUAUGGGCUGCUGCUCUCUCUAAUUGUUUGCUGCCUAAGCAUUUCUUGAACUAUUCUUUCUAUCUCAUCUUUUUGAAACUGAGCCUAUCUGUAAGGUUUAAAACUGGCAGGAUUUGCAAGCUUUUCUAAGGUGAUAUUGUGAAAUUGAGAUCUUGCUGGAGGUAAUCCCACAGGUUCUUCAAAUACAUCCACAAAUUCAUUCAGAAUUGGUUUUAAUAAUUCUGUUUCAUUUUCAGAGUUUCUCCCUUCUUUCUGUUUUUCAAAAUUAACCUCUCCCACAUAUUCAAAUCUACAGAAAAAAGCUCCCACAGUUGUGGCUGCUAAAGAAUUCAUUUCAUUCUUAGAUAGUUCUUCAUCAGAUAACAGUGAUUCACCCACCCAUUUGACUCUUUCUCCCUUUCAAUUAAAUUCAAUAUUCAUCUCAGUGUAGUUGGAAAGAAAUGAACCCACAAUUUUAAACCAUUGGAUUCCCAAUACUAAGUUGGCUCCUUCCAUAUUUAAUAUAAACAUAUCAAUCUUCAUAGUUACUCCUUGUACAAUCAUUUGUACAUGUUUAGACAUUUUGUCACACCUCAGAGAUACCCCACUUCCUGUUGAAACUAAAAAUGAUGGUAUAGAAGUGAUUGGUAGCCUCAAUUGCCUUGCCACCUCUUCUUGAAGAAAAUUGUGUGUAGAGCCAGAGUCUAGCAAAAGAGAGACUCUUAGGUUAUUAAUGCUGGCUGAUAGCUUUAAGGUUCUUGGACUCAAUUGACCUUGUAAGAAGUGGUAGCUUAUGUGUGUAUGUUCAACCCUUAUUUCUUCAACUGCAUCAACAAAUUGCUCUUCAUCCUCAUUAGGCUCAGUAUAUUCAGCAAAGUACUCCCCAUCUGCAGAUAAUAGAAAUAACCUUCCCUUGCAUUUGUGACCUCUUUCCCACUUCUUAGUGCAAUUAAAACAUUCAUUUUUAGACAUUUUAAUUUUCAUUUCAGCAGGUGAAAGUUUCUGUCUCAACAUAGGCCCCUUUGUGUUUUCAGUAGGUGGUAGUGCCAAUGCUUUCUUAUAUGGAGGUAUGUAUGGUUGCAAUGAUGUAGAUGACUUAGAGUUCAUCUCCACUGCCAAAGCUCUAGUAUGAGGGCAAUACCUAACAAUAUCAGUAGACAAGUCAUUUCUCUCAUAGAGUUGAGCCAGAGCAAAUGCCUCAACUAAAUUCUUAGGUCUUGCUUUAAUCACAUCUUUUUGAAUUUCAUUUUUUAAGCCAGACAUAAACAUUUCUUUUAUAACCCUAGGAUUAAUAUCAGUCACCUUGUUAGAUAGGGCUCAAACUGAUGUUGAUAAUCUUUAAAAGAGCCAGUUUGUACAAGUUUACUCAAUUUGCCAGCUGGAAUCUCAUAGGCUGAGGUUCCAAAUCUUUUAACCAGGUCAUUUAGGAAAUCUGACCAAGACUUUAGAGUGUUGUUGUUAUCAGGCCAAAAGAGCCACUCUAAGGCUUCCCCUUCCAUAUUAAAAGUAGCAACUGUGAUUCUCUCUUCAUCAGGUAUGUUGUGAUACCUCAUAUACUUUUUGGCUUUAUAAAUCCAUCCCUGCACAUUUUCCCCAUCAAACUUGGGCAUUUCUGUUAUGAUAGAUUUAUACUUCAUUUCUUGCUUUUGUUGAAUCCGAUCCUCUGGAUUAUUUAUCAGUAGCAGUGUUUCUUUCAUUUUAGAUAAGGUUAUUUCCAUACUUCUCAACCUCUCAGCUUCAUAAUCCUGUUUAAUUUGUAGUCUUUUUAGUUGGAUAUCCAUGGGAUCAGCCAUUUCUCAGAUGACGAUGAAUCUGAAAUAUAAACUGUGUCACUUAAUAGAAGAACAAAUAAAAUAGAGAUGAUUAGAUAUGUCCCUGAUCCGGAUCUCUUAAGCAGAGAACAUGUUUUUGGCGAAUUUUUUUGUAAUUUUUUUACAGGUCUACAAAACCUUCUUCAGAUGUAAUAAGUGUCCUGAAAUUUAUUUUUAUUCAAUAAUAGCAAUGAUAUUGAGUUUAAUGGAAUGUAUACGUUCCUGUUUAGGAUCUCUUAAGCAGAGAACAUGCUUUUGAUAUGCUUUGCUUUUUUUUUGUACAGAUCUUGCUCUUCUGAAGAUCUUCAGAUGAUGGGCAGAUCCUGAUUAAAUCGCCUUGGACAGGAUCCUGAGCUAAUCCCGGCAGGCAGGAGGCGUUGAAAGCACCAAUGAUAGACGGUACUAGGGAGUUGGUCGGAGAACAGAGUAGAUCAUCCGCAAUGGAACAAUGGUCUGGAAGUUAGGGUUGCUUCAACCUGAUUUCCGUUUUUGGUUGUAACUUAAAUUGAUUGAUUAAAUCUCAAAUAAAACAGUCUUGC